RNAcentral lists this ribosomal RNA (461 nucleotides) under uncultured bacterium. RNAcentral describes it as "SSU rRNA". It matches the Rfam family "Bacterial small subunit ribosomal RNA", at positions 26 to 518 of the family's 1533-position model. The record is from RNAcentral.
AGAAUCAACGCUGGCGGCGUGCCUAACACAUGCAAGUCGAACGAGAAAGUGGGAGCAAUCCCACGAGUAAAGCGGCGCACGGGUGAGUAACACGUGACUAACCUACCCUUGAGUGGGGGAUAACCUAGGGAAACCUGGGCUAAUACCGCAUAAUACCUACGGGUCAAAGGAGCAAUUCGCUUUAGGAGGGGGUCGCGGCAGAUUAGUUAGUUGGCGGGGUAAUGGCCCACCAAGACAGUGAUCUGUAUCCGGCCUGAGAGGGCGCACGGACACACUGGAACUGAAACACGGUCCAGACUCCUACGGGAGGCAGCAGUGGGGAAUUUUGCGCAAUGGGGGAAACCCUGACGCAGCAACGCCGCGUGGAGGAUGAAGCCCCUUGGGGCGUAAACUCCUUUCGAUCGGGAAGAUAAUGACGGUACCGGAAGAAGAAGCCCGGCUAACUUCGUGCCAGCAGCCGC